CAAGGAAUUUUCGGCAAUGGGCGCAAGCCUGACCGAGCAACGCCGCGUGCGGGAUGACGGCCUUCGGGUUGUAAACCGCUUUUGGGGGGGAAGAAUCAGACGGUACCCCCCGAAUCAGCCCCGGCUAACUCUGUGCCAGCAGCCGCGGUAAUACAGAGGGGGCAAGCGUUGUCCGGAUUGACUGGGCGUAAAGCGCACGUAGGUGGUUGGUUACGUGGUGUGUGAAAGCUCAGGGCUUAACCCUGAUACGCCAUGCCAAACGAAUCGACUUGAGGCUGAGCAGAGGCGGGUGGAAUUGCCGGUGUAGUGGUGAAAUGCGUAGAGAUCGGCAGGAACACCAAGGGGGAACCCAGCCCGCUGGGCCAGUCCUGACACUGAGGUGCGACAGCGUGGGGAGCGAACAGG
Molecule: ribosomal RNA, 405 nt
Filed under: uncultured bacterium
Lineage: Bacteria
Description: bacterial SSU rRNA
Rfam family: Bacterial small subunit ribosomal RNA
Source: RNAcentral